This is a long non-coding RNA of Papilio polytes (common Mormon), 911 nucleotides long. RefSeq lists it as uncharacterized. The record is from RefSeq and is a predicted model, not a curated record. NCBI's taxonomy places the organism in Eukaryota, Metazoa, Arthropoda, Insecta, Lepidoptera, Papilionidae. The transcript is spliced from 4 exons.
ACUCACCGCCCAGCAGCAGCUGCAGCACUACCGCCGCAAACUCAUCAAAAAGGCUGCUAAGGAGGCAAAAGAGGCACAGGAGGAGGUGCGCGACUCGCCCGACACUCGACGCCGUUCGCCUGCUGAUGAUGACACGUACUCGGUAUCAUCUAAAAAAUCGAAGAAGUCCAGGGAGCCCAGUCUAUCGCCUCCUCCGAAGCGAAAUCGUCACAGUGAACGAAAAUCACGUUCAAGAUCUCGAUCUAGAGAGAGAGAAAGCGAUCGUGUCCGCGAGCGAGAGCGCGAGAGGGAGAGAGAUCGAGACAGAGAGCGUGACCGCGAGAGGGAGAGGCGGCGCCGCUCGCCGGCCACGCCCCCCGCCUUCUACCACAGGAAGCACAGCAAGCACGCCAAAUAUAAAUACUGACAAAGUAUUGAUAAUGUAUUUUAUGAAGAUUAAUUGUGUUACGGACAAAUUAAGUAAAAGUGUGUUUUGUGAUGUGAAAUAAAACAAAAUCUUGUAUCAAGAGUAUAUUCGACAGCUUUUAUGGAAUUGCAUAUUGACAGAUGGUAAAUAUUACGCGGUGCGGAAAUAUGAAAUGUAUAAAGUAAAAUACAACUAAAUGAAACAUUGUAAAUCUCCAUCAUCAAAUAUAAAUAUAAAUGUUAAAAUAAAUAUUGAUGAUACAAUUUUCAUUUCUAACAAUAUACGGUUUUUUCAAAUUUUGUCUUAAUCCUCUAAAAUAUAUUCAAAAUGUAGUAAUACGCUGUCUUUGUAAUUAAGAAUUAUGUACCAUGAGUUUCCACUUCUGAACUUGUACAAAAAUAGUCAUUUCAUUCAUUCUUUUUGAAAAAAAAAACAUGUUUUUGUAUAGAUGUUUCAAAAGUGGAAACUCGUGACUAGGUUUAACAAAUAAAGGUAAUGAACACUA